This 538-nucleotide ribosomal RNA is filed under the name uncultured bacterium. RNAcentral's name for it is "bacterial SSU rRNA". It matches the Rfam family "Bacterial small subunit ribosomal RNA", at positions 117 to 671 of the family's 1533-position model. The record is from RNAcentral.
GUGAGGAACCUGCCUCAAAGAGGGGGACAACAGUUGGAAACGACUGCUAAUACCGCAUAAGCCCACGGCUCGGCAUCGAGCAGAGGGAAAAGGAGCAAUCCGCUUUGAGAUGGCCUCGCGUCCGAUUAGCUAGUUGGUGAGGUAAUGGCCCACCAAGGCGACGAUCGGUAGCCGGACUGAGAGGUUGAACGGCCACAUUGGGACUGAGACACGGCCCAGACUCCUACGGGAGGCAGCAGUGGGGAAUAUUGCACAAUGGGGGAAACCCUGAUGCAGCGACGCCGCGUGGAGGAAGAAGGUCUUCGGAUUGUAAACUCCUGUUGUUGAGGAAGAUAAUGACGGUACUCGACAAGGAAGUGACGGCUAACUACGUGCCAGCAGCCGCGGUAAAACGUAGGUCACGAGCGUUGUCCGGAAUUACUGGGUGUAAAGGGAGCGCAGGCGGGAGAACAAGUUGGAAGUGAAAUCCAUGGGCUCAACCCAUGAACUGCUUUCAAAACUGUUUUUCUUGAGUAGUGCAGAGGUAGGCGGAAUUCCC